UACAGAGGGGGCAAGCGUUGUUCGGAAUUACUGGGCGUAAAGGGCGCGUAGGCGGCCUUCUAAGUCGAACGUGAAAUCCCCGGGCUCAACCCGGGAACUGCGUCCGAUACUGGAAGGCUAGAAUCCGGGAGAGGGAUGCGGAAUUCCAGGUGUAGCGGUGAAAUGCGUAGAUAUCUGGAGGAACACCGGUGGCGAAGGCGGCAUCCUGGACCAAUAUUGACGCUGAGGAGCGAAAGCCAGGGGAGCAAACGGG
RNAcentral lists this ribosomal RNA (253 nucleotides) under uncultured bacterium. RNAcentral describes it as "partial 16S ribosomal RNA". It matches the Rfam family "Bacterial small subunit ribosomal RNA", at positions 524 to 776 of the family's 1533-position model. The record is from RNAcentral.